RNAcentral lists this ribosomal RNA (253 nucleotides) under uncultured bacterium. Its description in RNAcentral is "partial 16S ribosomal RNA". It matches the Rfam family "Bacterial small subunit ribosomal RNA", at positions 524 to 776 of the family's 1533-position model. The record is from RNAcentral.
GACGGGGGAUGCAAGCGUUAUACGGAAUCACUGGGCGUAAAGCGUCCGCAGGUGGAGAUGCAAGUCACUGGUGCAAAACUCUGGCUCAACCGGAGGAAAGCCAGUGAAACUGCAUGACUAGAGUGUGGGAGAGGUAGAAGGAAUUCCCUGAGUAGCGGUGAAAUGCGUAGAUACAGGGAAGAACACCGGAGGCGAAAGCGUUCUACUGGAACACAACUGACACUGAGAAACGAGAGCGAGGGGAGCGAAGGGG